UUAUUUUUUUAUCUUAUUAUCUUAUUUUUAAAUGUAAUUAUUGCAUUAUUCAAUUUUUAUAUUAAUAUAACUGUACAAGCCCAUUUUUGCCCGGGCCCGCACCAAUAAACCAAACCCAAAACCAAACCACCUAAACCUAACCCAUUAAACCCAAACCUCAGCCCAAUUAAAAACUUAGCCCAAUAAAACCCAGUACCCAAAAUAAAACCCAAAACCCAUUUACAAAAAUAGGCCCAAACAUGGCCCAGACCCAAUGAAAACUAGGGUCUCAGAACCCUAGUCUCUUCCACCGCCCUAGCGCCGUACCCCCACUUGCUGCUGCUAUCGCUGUUCGUCAUGUCCCGUCCGUACUUACUCCUUGCGCUCUGUCACCUACUCCUCCGCGCCGCACGCCUUUUGCCCACCUGCUCCAGUGCCACCUGCAAAAUAAAGAGAGCACGCAACAGACAGAAGGGUAGAAACAAAUCGCAACAGCAAGUACAACGGCAGUUGAAAUAAAAAAAGUGUUGUAGUUGGCUAUAAAUGCCGAAACCAAAGACAUGUAAAGGGGUCGGCCCCUUUUUAUGAAUAUUAGAAAAUAAAAAAAGAGACUUUUAAAAGGAUUCAAAAAAAAUCUUAAGGUGACUAUUGCUUUUUUUAGAUCUGUUAGUUUGUUUCAUUUUAAUCUUGUUUGCGCUUCUAAAUAAAAAAUAAGAGUAAGGGAAAGGAGAAUCCUUACCUGUGCCGUGCCAGAGGAGGAUAAACCGAACGGUUUCCCUCCGUUUCUAGGGCUCACAGCCACCUUUCACGGGAUUCAGCCUUGAAUCCGUGUUCUAGAGGCUACGGGCUUCAAAGAGGAAUCGGAAAGGCUUGAUUUUGUGCCUCCGGCCGCCGUUCUCGGUGGCUCUACGACGGAGGCGCGUUGGAGCCGAGGCCGGACUGAGGAGAGGGGUUGAGAGAGAAUGAAGUUUUUUUUUUGGAAAAAGAAGGGAAAUGAAAUUUUUUCUGAAAAU
Molecule: long non-coding RNA, 992 nt
Filed under: Gossypium barbadense (sea-island cotton)
Lineage: Eukaryota; Viridiplantae; Streptophyta; Magnoliopsida; Malvales; Malvaceae
Description: long non-coding RNA (GBAR_LNC019193)
Source: RNAcentral